GUGUGGGUGUGUGCAUUGUGUGGGCUGUAGCUCUGCUGACUAUAGUUUGGAGUCAGUUGUUGCUUAGAAGCAGUAGAGGAGAAAGCACUGGUAGUUAAGCUUGAAGCUGCUUAGCUGGAGAAGACAGCCCACACCCUUUCCACUGAGGACCAAGAAGAUUCCAGUGCGCAGAUGGAACUGUAUUUUCUGCUCUUCACUGGUGGAUAUCAUGGAGCUGGACCACAGAUACCUGUAGCCCAGACACUAUCUGGGAAAGUUUCAGAUAUGGAAGGAGUAAGAGUCACAGCCCCAGCCAGAAUCACCACUCCACUGUAUGACCAAGACCUCGCUUUGAAGAGCUUGCAGGCUGACACCGUGCUUCUUGACUUUUAUCAAGAAAUCAUAUCCUUUCACACAGACCUUUUUACAGACCUACUGAACAGAACCGGGCUGGUGAAUAGGGAAGGCAAUAAACCAUCACUAACAGGGAGACUGCUACACUGGGGACGACAGCUCUCUGGCUACCAGCCUUCACUAUAGUUUACAAGGGGUGUUGCUCUGGUGCUUCCCAGCCUGAAUCACCUCAGUUAGCAGGUAAAAGGGCAUGCUGAAGAGCCAGAUACCUGAGACUCAUCGGGGUGACUGUGAUAAAGACUUUUGUUCCUGACUGCGGUCACUGAGAGAACCAAUAAUUUUGUGUUUUGGAGGAUCCACACAAAUUCAUAAUUAUAGUUAAAAUUAUCUGUACCUUUUUGUACCUAAGAUAUUAUCAGGUUGGUUUUCUUUUUUUGUUUUUUCUUUUUUCUACUCCUUCAGAAAGGGAUGGUUCAUGUGAAGCU
Long non-coding RNA from Pezoporus flaviventris, 818 nucleotides. RefSeq lists it as uncharacterized. The record is from RefSeq and is a predicted model, not a curated record. Lineage: Eukaryota; Metazoa; Chordata; Aves; Psittaciformes; Psittacidae. The transcript is spliced from 3 exons.